Molecule: ribosomal RNA, 484 nt
Filed under: uncultured bacterium
Lineage: Bacteria
Description: bacterial SSU rRNA
Rfam family: Bacterial small subunit ribosomal RNA
Source: RNAcentral
AACUAACGCUGGCGGCGUGCCUAACACAUGCAAGUCGUACGAGAAAGCCGGCUUCGGCUGGUGAGUAAAGUGGCGCACGGGUGAGUAACGCGUGGAUAAUCUGCCCUUAAGUGUGGAAUAACGUACCGAAAGGUGCGCUAAUACCGCAUAAUGCCUGGCAACACAAGUUGUCCGGCCAAAGAAGGCCUCUGUUUACAAGCUUUCGCUUCAGGAUGAGUCCGCGUACCAUUAGCUUGUUGGUGGGGUAAUGGCCUACCAAGGCUGCGAUGGUUAGCUGGUCUGAGAGGAUGAUCAGCCACACUGGAACUGAGACACGGUCCAGACUCCUACGGGAGGCAGCAGUGAGGAAUAUUGCGCAAUGGGGGGCAACCCUGACGCAGCAACGCCGCGUGAGUGAGGAAGGUUUUCGGACUGUAAAGCUCUGUCGAGCGGGAAGAAGUGUACCAUGGCUAAUAUCCAUGAUAUUUGACGGUACCGCUAGAGG